Neolamprologus brichardi is the source of this 124-nucleotide non-coding RNA. The record is from RefSeq and is a predicted model, not a curated record. NCBI's taxonomy places the organism in Eukaryota, Metazoa, Chordata, Actinopteri, Cichliformes, Cichlidae.
AAAAAAACUCCCAAGCUGGUGAACUGAAGGUUGCAGUUGCUUUACACACUGUUAAUGAAGACUGUGUGCUGUUUUCUUUGUACCAGUUGCCAGAAUAAAGAGGGAGCCCAGAGUAAGGGCAAGU